AAAGGUAAGCUACUAAGAGCGAAUGGUGGAUGCCUUGACUGGUAAAGGCGAUGAAGGACGUACUAGACUGCGAUAAGCUACGGGGAGCUGUCAAGAAGCUUUGAUCCGUAGAUUUCCGAAUGGGGCAACCCAAUGUAUAGAGAUAUACAUUACCUAUAUAGGAGCGAACGAGGGGAAUUGAAACAUCUUAGUACCCUCAGGAAAAGAAAUCAAUAGAGAUUGCGUCAGUAGCGGCGAGCGAAAGCGUAAGAGGGCAAACCCAGUGCUUGCACUGGGGGUUGUAGGACUGCAAUGUGCAAGAGGUGAGUUUAGCAGAACAUUCUGGAAAGUAUAGCCAUAGAGGGUGAUAGUCCCGUAUGCGAAAAACAAACCUUAGCUAGCAGUAUCCUGAGUAGGGCGGGACACGAGAAAUCCUGUCUGAAGC
RNAcentral lists this ribosomal RNA (424 nucleotides) under Campylobacter coli. RNAcentral's name for it is "partial 23S ribosomal RNA". It matches the Rfam family "Bacterial large subunit ribosomal RNA", at positions 1 to 444 of the family's 2925-position model. Lineage: Bacteria; Pseudomonadati; Campylobacterota; Epsilonproteobacteria; Campylobacterales; Campylobacteraceae. The record is from RNAcentral.